RNAcentral lists this ribosomal RNA (491 nucleotides) under uncultured bacterium. RNAcentral describes it as "partial 16S ribosomal RNA". It matches the Rfam family "Bacterial small subunit ribosomal RNA", at positions 29 to 507 of the family's 1533-position model. The record is from RNAcentral.
GUGAACGCUGGCGGUAGGCCUAACACAUGCCAGUCGAACGGCAGCACAGUAAGAGCUUGCUCUUACGGGUGGCGAGUGGCGGACGGGUGAGGAAUACAUCGGAAUCUACUUUUUCGUGGGGGAUAACGUAGGGAAACUUACGCUAAUACCGCAUACGACCUACGGGUGAAAGCAGGGGAUCUUCGGACCUUGCGCGAUUGAAUGAGCCGAUGUCGGAUUAGCUAGUUGGCGGGGUAAAGGCCCACCAAGGCGAUGAUCCGUAGCUGGUCUGAGAGGAUGAUCAGCCACACUGGAACUGAGACACGGUCCAGACUCCUACGGGAGGCAGCAGUGGGGAAUAUUGGACAAUGGGCGCAAGCCUGAUCCAGCCAUACCGCGUGGGUGAAGAAGGCCUUCGGGUUGUAAAGCCCUUUUGUUGGGAAAGAAAAGCAGCAGGUUAAUACCCCGCUGUUCUGACGGUACCCAAAGAAUAAGCACCGGCUAACUUCGUG